Molecule: ribosomal RNA, 2902 nt
Filed under: Klebsiella pneumoniae
Lineage: Bacteria; Pseudomonadati; Pseudomonadota; Gammaproteobacteria; Enterobacterales; Enterobacteriaceae
Description: 23S ribosomal RNA
Rfam family: Bacterial large subunit ribosomal RNA
Source: RNAcentral
GGUUAAGCGACUAAGCGUACACGGUGGAUGCCCUGGCAGUCAGAGGCGAUGAAGGACGUGCUAAUCUGCGAAAAGCGUCGGUAAGGUGAUAUGAACCGUUAUAACCGGCGAUGUCCGAAUGGGGAAACCCAGUGUGAUUCGUCACACUAUCGUUAACUGAAUACAUAGGUUAACGAGGCGAACCGGGGGAACUGAAACAUCUAAGUACCCCGAGGAAAAGAAAUCAACCGAGAUUCCCCCAGUAGCGGCGAGCGAACGGGGAGCAGCCCAGAGUCUGAAUCAGCUUGUGUGUUAGUGGAACGGUCUGGAAAGUCCGACGGUACAGGGUGAUAGUCCCGUACACCAAAAUGCACAGGUUGUGAACUCGAAGAGUAGGGCGGGACACGUGGUAUCCUGUCUGAAUAUGGGGGGACCAUCCUCCAAGGCUAAAUACUCCUGACUGACCGAUAGUGAACCAGUACCGUGAGGGAAAGGCGAAAAGAACCCCGGCGAGGGGAGUGAAAAAGAACCUGAAACCGUGUACGUACAAGCAGUGGGAGCACCUUCGGGUGUGACUGCGUACCUUUUGUAUAAUGGGUCAGCGACUUAUAUUCUGUAGCAAGGUUAACCGUAUAGGGGAGCCGCAGGGAAACCGAGUCUUAACUGGGCGUUAAGUUGCAGGGUAUAGACCCGAAACCCGGUGAUCUAGCCAUGGGCAGGUUGAAGGUUGGGUAACACUAACUGGAGGACCGAACCGACUAAUGUUGAAAAAUUAGCGGAUGACUUGUGGCUGGGGGUGAAAGGCCAAUCAAACCGGGAGAUAGCUGGUUCUCCCCGAAAGCUAUUUAGGUAGCGCCUCGUGAACUCAUCUUCGGGGGUAGAGCACUGUUUCGGCUAGGGGGUCAUCCCGACUUACCAACCCGAUGCAAACUACGAAUACCGAAGAAUGUUAUCACGGGAGACACACGGCGGGUGCUAACGUCCGUCGUGAAGAGGGAAACAACCCAGACCGCCAGCUAAGGUCCCAAAGUCAUGGUUAAGUGGGAAACGAUGUGGGAAGGCACAGACAGCCAGGAUGUUGGCUUAGAAGCAGCCAUCAUUUAAAGAAAGCGUAAUAGCUCACUGGUCGAGUCGGCCUGCGCGGAAGAUGUAACGGGGCUAAACCAUGCACCGAAGCUGCGGCAGCGACACUAUGUGUUGUUGGGUAGGGGAGCGUUCUGUAAGCCUGCGAAGGUGACCUGUGAGGGUUGCUGGAGGUAUCAGAAGUGCGAAUGCUGACAUAAGUAACGAUAAAGCGGGUGAAAAGCCCGCUCGCCGGAAGACCAAGGGUUCCUGUCCAACGUUAAUCGGGGCAGGGUGAGUCGACCCCUAAGGCGAGGCCGAAAGGCGUAGUCGAUGGGAAACAGGUUAAUAUUCCUGUACUUGGUGUUACUGCGAAGGGGGGACGGAGAAGGCUAUGUUAGCCGGGCGACGGUUGUCCCGGUUUAAGCAUGUAGGCUGAUUGUCCAGGCAAAUCCGGAUAAUCAAGGCUGAGGUGUGAUGACGAGGCACUACGGUGCUGAAGUAACAAAUGCCCUGCUUCCAGGAAAAGCCUCUAAGCAUCAGGUAACAUCAAAUCGUACCCCAAACCGACACAGGUGGUCAGGUAGAGAAUACCAAGGCGCUUGAGAGAACUCGGGUGAAGGAACUAGGCAAAAUGGUGCCGUAACUUCGGGAGAAGGCACGCUGGUGUGUAGGUGAAGUCCCUGCGGAUGGAGCUGAGACCAGUCGAAGAUACCAGCUGGCUGCAACUGUUUAUUAAAAACACAGCACUGUGCAAACACGAAAGUGGACGUAUACGGUGUGACGCCUGCCCGGUGCCGGAAGGUUAAUUGAUGGGGUUAUCCGUAAGGAGAAGCUCUUGAUCGAAGCCCCGGUAAACGGCGGCCGUAACUAUAACGGUCCUAAGGUAGCGAAAUUCCUUGUCGGGUAAGUUCCGACCUGCACGAAUGGCGUAAUGAUGGCCAGGCUGUCUCCACCCGAGACUCAGUGAAAUUGAACUCGCUGUGAAGAUGCAGUGUACCCGCGGCAAGACGGAAAGACCCCGUGAACCUUUACUAUAGCUUGACACUGAACAUUGAGCCUUGAUGUGUAGGAUAGGUGGGAGGCUUUGAAGCGUGGACGCCAGUCUGCGUGGAGCCAACCUUGAAAUACCACCCUUUAAUGUUUGAUGUUCUAACGUUGGCCCCUGACCGGGGUUGCGGACAGUGUCUGGUGGGUAGUUUGACUGGGGCGGUCUCCUCCCAAAGCGUAACGGAGGAGCACGAAGGUUAGCUAAUCCUGGUCGGACAUCAGGAGGUUAGUGCAAUGGCAUAAGCUAGCUUGACUGCGAGCGUGACGGCGCGAGCAGGUGCGAAAGCAGGUCAUAGUGAUCCGGUGGUUCUGAAUGGAAGGGCCAUCGCUCAACGGAUAAAAGGUACUCCGGGGAUAACAGGCUGAUACCGCCCAAGAGUUCAUAUCGACGGCGGUGUUUGGCACCUCGAUGUCGGCUCAUCACAUCCUGGGGCUGAAGUAGGUCCCAAGGGUAUGGCUGUUCGCCAUUUAAAGUGGUACGCGAGCUGGGUUUAGAACGUCGUGAGACAGUUCGGUCCCUAUCUGCCGUGGGCGCUGGAGAAUUGAGGGGGGCUGCUCCUAGUACGAGAGGACCGGAGUGGACGCAUCACUGGUGUUCGGGUUGUCAUGCCAAUGGCACUGCCCGGUAGCUAAAUGCGGAAGAGAUAAGUGCUGAAAGCAUCUAAGCACGAAACUUGCCCCGAGAUGAGUUCUCCCUGAGACUUUAAGUCUCCUGAAGGAACGUUGAAGACGACGACGUUGAUAGGCCGGGUGUGUAAGCGCAGCGAUGCGUUGAGCUAACCGGUACUAAUGAACCGUGAGGCUUAACCUU